RNAcentral lists this ribosomal RNA (501 nucleotides) under uncultured bacterium. RNAcentral describes it as "bacterial SSU rRNA". It matches the Rfam family "Bacterial small subunit ribosomal RNA", at positions 899 to 1397 of the family's 1533-position model. The record is from RNAcentral.
ACUCAAAGGAAUUGACGGGGGCCCGCACAAGCGGUGGAGCAUGUGGUUUAAUUCGAUGCAACGCGAAGAACCUUACCGGGUCUUGACAUCCAACGAAUCUGGUGGAAACAUCGGAGUGCUCUUCGGAGAACGUUGAGACAGGUGGUGCAUGGUUGUCGUCAGCUCGUGUCGUGAGAUGUUGGGUUAAGUCCCGCAACGAGCGCAACCCCUGCUGUUAGUUGCUAACAGGUUAAGCUGAGCACUCUAGCAGGACUGCCGGUGACAAACCGGAGGAAGGUGGGGAUGACGUCAAAUCAUCAUGCCCUUUAUGAUCCGGGCUACACACGUGCUACAAUGGUCGGUACAGAGAGCAGCGAGACCGCGAGGUUUAGCAAAUCUCACAAAGCCGAUCACAGUUCGGAUUGCAGGCUGCAACUCGCCUGCAUGAAGUCGGAAUCGCUAGUAAUCGCGAAUCAGAAUGUCGCGGUGAAUUCGUUCCCGGGCCUUGCACACACCGCCCGU